This is a non-coding RNA of Eragrostis curvula (weeping love grass), 72 nucleotides long. NCBI's taxonomy places the organism in Eukaryota, Viridiplantae, Streptophyta, Magnoliopsida, Poales, Poaceae. The record is from the annotation of a GenBank genome assembly.
UGUUGCAUGGUGCAGUGGUUAAGGCAUUGGCUCACCAUCCUGGAGGCGUGGGUUCGAUUCCCAUAGCCGCAG